This is a long non-coding RNA of Raphanus sativus (radish), 399 nucleotides long. RefSeq lists it as uncharacterized. The record is from RefSeq and is a predicted model, not a curated record. The transcript is spliced from 3 exons. Lineage: Eukaryota; Viridiplantae; Streptophyta; Magnoliopsida; Brassicales; Brassicaceae.
AAGAUCUAUUCUGCUACGUCUCUGUUUUUCAUAAACAGAAGCAACUUCAAGAAGUGAGGAUAUAAAAGGGAGCAACAGAAAACUAUUUAUGUCGACAGUGCUAAGAAUAGAAAGAAGAGAAUGUGGACAUACCAACUCCAGGACACGAACUGCCUACACUGCACCAUCUCUGUUACGUUAGUUUGUCCUAAUUUUACAAGCACUUGUACAUGUCUCCUGAAAAAAGGGAUGAUAUGGAAUAUCCAAUAUUCCAUGAGAGGCAUUAAAAGGGGCAAGAACUCACAACAUUGUGGAGAAAGAAGUCAACAUUGUCGAACAAGGAAACAAACGCCAUAAAACUGGAGACUGGGUUGUCGUGCUGCAGCAGCCAGAGAGCCAGAGCGUCCGUAGUAUGGGUAA